This is a long non-coding RNA of Cyprinus carpio (common carp), 2127 nucleotides long. RefSeq lists it as uncharacterized. The record is from RefSeq and is a predicted model, not a curated record. The transcript has 3 exons. Lineage: Eukaryota; Metazoa; Chordata; Actinopteri; Cypriniformes; Cyprinidae.
GGCUGCUGAAAAUUCAGCUCACAGAAAUAAAUUACAUUUAAUAAUAUCUAAAAACAGGAAACAGUAAUAACAUAUCACAAUAUUACUUCAACUUUGGGUUUUUCCUGGGGAAAUAUAGUAGCUGCAGACAGUAUUAGUCCAAAAAAAUCAUACUGCAAAAGUCUUAUUUAGUCAUAUAUCAGUAAUCAAAAUAUUGCCUAGUUGUCUAUUUAAAAUAUCCUAACAAGAAGGAAAACAAAAGAGAGAAUUGCAUUAUUUUUGUGAAAAUGGCUUCAGGUUGAAAUGCAAACAUAUUCAUUCAAUUAGAAAAUGCAUUUUUUUUUUUUUUUUUUUUUUUUUCAGCUUAAGUUGCAUUUACCCUUUAAAAGACAUGACAAGCACAUAAAUAACAUAAAAUGUUCUCACUGACAUUUUUAUUUAAAUAUCCUGAAUCCCUGCUCUCCUCCAGGCAAUAUUUUCAGCUUGCGAAUUAGAGGUGUUUGACCUUCUCCUCCAAUCCCAAAAGCCCAUGAGUGCAGUUGAAGUGGCACAGAAGCUUGGCACCAGUGAAGAUGGUGUAGAGCGUUUACUAGAUCUUCUGGUUGCCAUUGACAUUGUGGAUGUGGAAGUGGUGCAGGGAACAGGUCAGAAGAGGAGAUGCUGAAAUUCAUGGGACAACUUUCGAUCUUUCUAACUUCAAGACCGUCAGAGAUCUGGGAGGCUGCUUUGGUGCAUUAGCGUGAGAACUGGCUAAAGAGGAUCCUUCCUCCACUGUCACGGUGCUGGAUCUCCCGGCUGUGGUCCAGACUGCUCAGCAGCAUUUCACCCAGCAAGACGACACCAUCUGUUUUCAAGAGGGUGCAUAAUGACUUAUGACGCAUCGUAACAUUGUUAAUGGUUCGCAUUUGACCGGUUCUCUGUCCUUACAAGCAAAACAAAAAGCAGUCUAAUGGCUGCCCUGACCACAGAAUAUUUGAUGUGUUUUGUGUAACAAUAGUUAAUGAAAACUGAAAUAGAAACUAAAUAAAAGAAAAAAAUUCUUAACUAAAAUAUAAAUAAAAACUAAAAUAACUCGGAAAUGUAAAACUGAAAUACUCAAAAAUGGCCUCAAAUGAAUGUUUCUUAUACAUAAUAUAUCAUAAAACCAUCUGUAUUAAACAUGAACACGUUAAACACUUGAUGACAAUAACACUGUGCUGAUAAAUGCAAUGCUGUUAGGCAUUUUUAAAUUAUACCAGUUAGCACAUUAACUAAGAAAAAUAAAUGAAAAACUACACUACCAUUCAAAAGUUUGGGGUCAGUAAGAUUUUAUUUUUUUUUAAAGAAAAUUUAAUUCAGCAAGGAUGCAUUAAAUUGAUUUAAAGUGGCAUUACAGACAUAUACAUUUCAGUAGAUUUUUAUUUAUAAUAUUUAUACGUAUUUACAACUUAUUUAUAAUUUCUAGCUGAAUUCGCACAGGUCCAUGUCAUGGAGUAAUGGCUGCUGAAAAUUCAGCUUUGCCAUCACAGGAAUAAAUAACAUUUUAAAAUAUAAGGCAGUAAUCAUAUUCAUGCGCAUCUCAGACAUCUGUUGUUCAACCUUGGCCUUGUUUUGUAAAGUUAUAAAGCAUUUUUUUUCUCCAUCAGAGAAUGAGCCCACUCGUGAUCCUUACAAUUCCUUCAAAAGGCUGUUUUAGUACCAAUUAGUUACGUUUUUUGUGAACUUGACACCUGAGGCCUACCAGAUGUAGUCUGAGAAGGGGUGGGAUAAGGAGCUGUUUUGGAUUGGCCAGUGGUGUCAAAUUAAGCUCCUCCCUAUAUCCCUUCUUAUGUAUCUGUGCACCCUUGUCUUGACAAAUGGUUAAGUGUGACCCCUAGUGGUUACUUGUUAAACUAACAUAGUCAAAAAAAAAAAAAUCUUCUAAAAAUGUACACAAUCCAUUGAUUAAAUUGGCAGUAGAUGAUUUUUAACUAAAGAAAAUCUGAAUAUCACUUCUUGGCCUCAUUCCAUUUCAACAAUAUGCUUUUUGUAUCAAAUAGCCCUAAUACAAUUCAUUUACCAUCCUUCUAUAAAAAAAUGGCUCUUGAUUAUUUUUUCAAUUGUUUGUGUACUUUUUUUUUAGUAAAAACCUUGCACCACCCUUGACGUUGUGCCUCACAUUUAUACUUG